AUGAUCGGCGGGGUCCACCUCGUCACCUCCUCCUCCGUCUCCCUGGUAGACGACCGGCCGGCUCCGGUGAGCUCAAAGGCGACGCGCACCUCCUUCGCUUCGUGGUCGGCACCCGGCCGUUCUUUCGCGCCGUGGGCGACGACCGAACCAGGGCUCCUCGUCGACGCCGACGCCGCGUCCUCCUCGGCCAUGGGCAUGCCGGCCUUGGCCUCCCUCGCGGCCUUCACCUCGCGCUGCAGCUCCCGCAGCUCCCUCUUGACGCGGUCCAGCUCACGCAUCACCUCGGCGUACGUCGCGCCGCCGCUCGACUCCAUCGGCCGAGCGCCACCGACGUCUGCGGCGAGGCCGGCUACGUUCGCGCGCGGUCCUUUGAGGAGUUCCGACCUGCGGGACCCCUGCCGCUCCAGCUGCUUCUUGGCCACGACCGCCGGCAGCUCAGGCUCCGCUGCAGCGACGACGCGCGCCCUCUCCUUGUCCGGCCCCUGCGACCCCGCCUUGGGCUGCUCCACCAGCUGCUUGGCGUCGGCCUGCUCCACGAGCUGCUCCAGCGUCUUGCCCGCGAACAGCUCAGGAUCCACACGCGCCUUCGCCUUCUCCUUCUCUCUCUCCGGCGUGGCGGCCGGACGCCGGUGCGGCAGCCGAUCGGUGCCGGAGCCGGACCUCGCCACCUGCUUGACAUCGGACGACACGUUCUGCACGCAGUCACCACGGUCGAUGUUAUCAGCACAACACCAAGACCCGGCACGAUCUCACAUGAAGCCUACCUUGACGACCUUGGGCAGCGUGGCUCGCCGCCGGGGCUUCCCGCGGCGCCGCACGUCGAUGCUCUGGCUCUGGCUCUGGCUCUGGCCGAAGAUGCUCAUGCCGUCGCCCACCGACACCGACUCGUUGCCGCCGCCGUAG
This 903-nucleotide ribosomal RNA is filed under the name Triticum aestivum (bread wheat). Its description in RNAcentral is "partial small subunit ribosomal RNA". The record is from RNAcentral. Lineage: Eukaryota; Viridiplantae; Streptophyta; Magnoliopsida; Poales; Poaceae.